Molecule: ribosomal RNA, 301 nt
Filed under: uncultured bacterium
Lineage: Bacteria
Description: partial 16S ribosomal RNA
Rfam family: Bacterial small subunit ribosomal RNA
Source: RNAcentral
CAGUAGCCGCGGUAAUACGUAGGGUGCAAGCGUUACUCGGAAUUACUGGGCGUAAAGCGUGCGUAGGUGGUGGUUUAAGUCCGUUGUGAAAGCCCUGGGCUCAACCUGGGAAUUGCAGUGGAUACUGGGUCACUAGAGUGUGGUAGAGGAUAGUGGAAUUUCCGGUGUAGCAGUGGAAUGCGUAGAGAUCGGAAGGAACAUCUGUGGCGAAGGCGACUAUCUGGGCCAACACUGACACUGAGGCACGAAAGCGUGGGGAGCAAACAGGAUUAGAUACCCCGGUAGUCCCUGUCUCUUAUAC